RNAcentral lists this unclassified non-coding RNA (354 nucleotides) under soil metagenome. Its description in RNAcentral is "partial contains 5.8S ribosomal RNA, internal transcribed spacer 2, and large subunit ribosomal RNA". The stretch from base 1 to 120 matches the Rfam family "5.8S ribosomal RNA", at positions 35 to 154 of the family's 154-position model. The record is from RNAcentral.
GAUGAAGAACGCAGCGAAAUGCGAUAAGUAGUGUGAAUUGCAGAAUUCAGUGAAUCAUCGAAUCUUUGAACGCACAUUGCGCCUCCUGGUAUUCCGGGAGGCAUGCCUGUUCGAGCGUCAUUAAAAUCACUCAAGCUUAGGUUUACCUAUUGCUUGGUCUUGGAGAUGGAAGCCAAUUUAUUGGAAUCCUCUUCGAAAUUCAAUGGCGAAGACCCUUGCUCUCCCAAGUGUAGUAAUAACUUAUGUCACUGAAGGAAGCGAGAAAUCUUCUGCCGUAACCCCCAUAUUUUCUCUGAUUGACCUCGGAUCAGGUAGGGAUACCCGCUGAACUUAAGCAUAUCAAUAAGCGGAGGA